Molecule: ribosomal RNA, 460 nt
Filed under: uncultured bacterium
Lineage: Bacteria
Description: partial 16S ribosomal RNA
Rfam family: Bacterial small subunit ribosomal RNA
Source: RNAcentral
CCUACGGGUGGCAGCAGUGAGGAAUAUUGGUCAAUGGGAGCAAGCCUGAACCAGCCAUGCCGCGUGAAGGACGACGGCUCUACGGGUUGUAAACUUCUUUUGUACAGGAGUAAAGUGACUUACGUGUGGCGUUUUGAAAGUACUUUACGAAUAAGGAUCGGCUAACUCCGUGCCAGCAGCCGCGGUAAUACGGAGGAUCCGAGCGUUAUCCGGAUUUAUUGGGUUUAAAGGGAGCGUAGGUUGUUUUAUAAGUCAGCGGUGAAAUACCGAUGCUCAACCUCGGGACUGCAGUUAAUACUGUAGGUCUAGAGUACGGAUGCAGCAGGCGGAAUGUGUAGUGUAGCGGUGAAAUGCAUAGAUAUUACGCAGAACACCGAUUGCGAAGGCAGCUUGCUAGGCCGCAACUGACACUGAUGCACGAAAGCGUGGGGAUCGAACAGGAUUAGAUACCCGUGUAGUC